AUGUCUCACUCAUUCAUUAUUUGUCUUAAUGCAGAUACCAUAUAUGGACCUUCUGAUGUGACCUACGUAAAGAUUGACCUGAAAUCAUUGAAUGAAAUUAAGAAGAAAAAGAAAGAAAACAAAGGAAAGGAGAGUUCUGACACGGUUUACUCCAAACUGAAGAUUUAAGGUUCUGUUGCUGGAUCUAUAUGAUGAAUACUCAAUUUUUAUCAACAAUGGAAUUCAAAAAUGUAUCAAAAGUUGGUUAAUUGGAUAUAUUACCCUAAUUAUUAAUCGUAUUGUUUAAAUUAUUCAUCAUAACAUGCAUAUAUUCAUAAUCCAUGAUAUUUUAAAACUAGAUUUGUGUCACCACAACACACAAUCCUUCUAACCGCUGAUACACUGGGUGCAUAAGCAUUCAUCUUACAUAACUGUUACAUUACUAAUAUGUCUAACAAAAUAUUAAACAUUAUAAGAAAAUAUGUCAUGGUAUGUUCAUGUAUUGAUCUUUCCUCUCAUUGUCCACUAGAUGUCAUCAUAGAGACGAUUUGGUAGUUUCAUCCAUAUUUUACUGUGUGCUAGUUUUUGAUAAUCUUAUUUUGGUAUUUACUGUAUGUUUGUCCUCUUACUUUCAUACCUGCACUGUUUGUACUUUAAUCAUGUAUGUUAAUAAAAUGUAUUUUCCAAACA
Molecule: long non-coding RNA, 669 nt
Organism: Cyprinus carpio (common carp)
Lineage: Eukaryota; Metazoa; Chordata; Actinopteri; Cypriniformes; Cyprinidae
Source: Ensembl